UCUAGGAGAAAUGGCAGGCCUAUCAAAUGAUUCAAUUUUUUCCACUGUGUUCAAUUGUUUUGAUUUGUAUCCCACUGCCAUUCUGGUUUGUUCUAUCACUCACUUAUAACUGAACUGAGUAAUCUAUGUCCCUCUCUCUCCCUGCAGGGAGACCAUGGUCCACCUGGGUCUUCCAGCCCUCGUGGGCCACCAGGGCUGGGAAUAGUCGGCCCGAAGGGUGACCAGGGCUUCCCAGGGCAGCACGGACCACAGGGAGAGAGAGGAGUUGUGGAGCCAGGGCCGAAGGGUGAACCAGGACCUGACGGAUCCUCUGGGAUACCUGGUAUACUUGGGGAAGAUGGAGCGGUCCAACCUAAGGUUGUCACGUCCUGACCAGUAUAAGGGUUAUUUGUUAUUGUAGUUUGGUCAGGACGUGGCAGAGGGUAUUUUGUUUAUGUGGUUCGGGGUGGUGAUUUAUUUAAUAGGGUGUUGGUUUAGUUAGUUCUGGGUUUUUGGGGUUAUGUUCUAGGUUUGUAUUUCUAUGUGGUCUCUAGUCUUUUGUAUUUCUAUGUCUAGUUUAUUGGGGUUGGACUC
Molecule: non-coding RNA, 573 nt
Organism: Salmo salar (Atlantic salmon)
Lineage: Eukaryota; Metazoa; Chordata; Actinopteri; Salmoniformes; Salmonidae
Source: RefSeq, a predicted model, not a curated record